Molecule: long non-coding RNA, 2483 nt
Filed under: Podarcis muralis (Common wall lizard)
Lineage: Eukaryota; Metazoa; Chordata; Lepidosauria; Squamata; Lacertidae
Description: lncRNA (ENSPMRG00000001516.1)
Source: RNAcentral
UGGGCUGGAAAGUGAAGAGGCUUGGCUUCAAGAUGGAUGCCAAGAAGGCAGGGGCUUUGCCUUGCCCACCUCCCUUAACCAAUGACAAUUAUUCAUCUUGGUCUGUAAAGAUGAAGGCCCUGCUGCAGAAUCAGAGGCUUUUUGAUGUGAUUGAAAACCCCAUCCCUGCAGCACCAACCAGAGGUUGGGAAUCACAGAAUGUGAGGGCCAGGACUGCUAUAAUUCUGUGUGUCUCAGAUGAUCAGUUGGUGAAUGUUCAGCAUUUAGAAAAUGCGAAAGAGGUUUGGGACACGCUGCGUACAACGCAUCAGAGAGAUGCUGGUUCUUCUGCGUUGCUGUAUUUUGAGAAGUUAACCAAUCUGAGACUUGCGCCUGAUGGAGAUGUUCAAGCGCACCUGACAGAAAUGAAGUUUCUGCGUCAACAGAUGGUGGAACGCAAUUUCCGUCUUCAGGAGGAAGUGUUUUGCUUCAUGAUGAUAAACAGCCUUAAUCGCACCUACAAGGUUGUUGCCAGUCAGCUUGGUUCCCUACCUGCUCAAGACCUGACUUCGGAGAGAGUGUGUGCGGUGGUCCUGAAUGAACACGACAGACUUGCUGCACUGGAAGUGAAAGACAGGGGGAGGGUAGAACAGAGUUCUAAUUCCCCCACUGCUGAUGCUACUGGAGAGCAUGGAGUAGCAUUGAGUGCUGUCCGAUGCUACAACUGUGGACAGACUGGGCAUCUACAGCGAAACUGUAAGAAGCCGCGACAGUCAAGAGGAGCAAAGAGCAGCUCUACGAAGCCUGAGGCGUCAGGCAAAAGCCGUACCAAGUGCCAGGUGAAACCUGCAAAGGCUAUGAUGGCGAAAGGAACCACGCCAGAUGUUGGGAACUCGUUCAUAAUUGACACGGGCGCGACGGUCCAUAUGUGCCCGCACAGACAACUGUUUUCGACGUUGAAGAAGCAAAGCUUCGCUGUGAAACAGGCCAACGGUCAAGAGUUGGAAGCGACUGAAAUUGGAACUGUGUAUCUUGAGAGUCUGAACUUGACUAUAAGUGAUGUUUACCUGGUUCCAGAACUGAAAUUUAAUCUGCUGAGUGUGUCGCAGAUUGCAAAGAAAGGACUGAAACUGACCUAUGAUGCUAAAAGCUGCAAGAUCUACAAAGAUGGAGAACUGUUUCUUACUGCCAAAGAGAAAGAUGGACUGUAUUUGUUGACUUUUGAUCAAAGUGAUUACAUGAAAUGUAAUUCUUCUGAUUCUAACGAAAUCUUUCUUGCAGGUGUGACCAGUGUGAGCGCCAGGAAGGUGACCAAGAAGGUCGACAGAGCAUUUCAGCGGGUGUAUGCUGAUGUGAUUGGUCCUCUAGAACCAUCUAGGGGCAGUGCAAAAUAUUACCUUUUGUGUAUGGAUUGUUUCACUAAUUAUUCUUGGGUUUAUUUGAUGGAGAAACCGCAAGAAACUUUAGAAAAGUUUCAGGAAUUUUGUGACAAGGUUAAAAAUAUGCAUGAUGCUAACAUUGAUUGUCUUUUCACAGAUGACAAGCAAAUUUUUCUGUUACAGAAGUUUCAGAAGUUCCUGGAUGGAAAAGGGAUAGACCACAAAAUUGCUGUCUCGCCAGAAGCGUGGAACAGGGGGGUCUGUGUUAGAGUGAACAAAGAUUUGCAAAAGGGGAUGAAUGCGCAAUUGCUGAGUUCACAUUUGCCACAUGAUUAUUGGGCCGAAUCGCUAGCGUCCUAUCUUCAUGUGUGGUUGAGAAAAGUCUCAACAGAGUUGGGAUGUUCUCCUUUUGAGAAGCUGUUCAAUAGAAAACCUUCUGUUGCCUAUUUUAAGGUUUUCGGGUCUCAUGUGAGAACAGAAGCUCCAGGUGGAGUAAAGAAUGCCAAAGGCAUUUUUGUGGGAUAUGAAAAGGGUCUCUACAGAGUAAUUUUGUCUGAAUCUGGUCAGGUGAUUCUCACAAAGUUCCUAGAGAGUGCUCCAGAGCAAGAGCGGGUAGUACAGACAUUUCCCACAGGUGGCAAUUCAGAUGAUGAUGAUGAUGAUUUUUCUGAUGUCACAGAUUACAGUGGUACUGAUGGUGACAGUGACAGCUCAGAGAGUUCAGUUGUAACAAUCAUUGAGAGGAAAUCUCACACAAUGGAUAGACCUUCACAGGUGAAGGAAGAACCACUGAUUGCUACUGGUUCUCAACAAAGUCCAGAGGUUGAACCAGUGAGCACAGAGGAUCAGAACCUCAUACGCAGGUCUGAGAGAGUCACAAAGGGUGUACCACCAAAGAGGUACUCAAAAGAGUUUGCUAACUUAGCUGUUGCAUGUGUUGCUAUUGUUAACAACUCAAAGCAGGUUGAAGCAGUGUCUAAGUCAGAGACAAAGACACAACAGAGAGUAGCUAGCCAAGGUAAUGCAGAAGCACUCAUUCCUUGGAAGCCAGACAACCAGAGAGGUACACUGAUGAAACCAGUGGUGGGAAGUUCCAAGGGUGGAACUGAAACAACAGGGGAUUGU